CACUUUGUCUUAAUGGCAAAUGUGAGAUGCAGUGUAUGGAAUGUCAAAUUUCUAGUAUGAGAAAUUAACGAUUUAAGUCCUUCUUAAAUGAGGCCAUUUACCCAAAGAGGGUGCCAGGCCCGUAUAACGUUAAUGAUUACUAGAUGGCAUUUCCAAAGAGUCGUGUUGCUUGAUAGUGCAGCACUAAGUGGGUGGUAAACUCCAUCUAAAACUAAAUAUAACCAUGAGACCGAUAGUAAACAAGUACCGUGAGGGAAAGUUGAAAAGAACUCUGAAUAGAGAGUUAAAUAGUACGUGAAACUGCUUAGAGGUUAAGCCCGAUGAACCUGAAUAUCCGUUAUAGAAAAUUCAUCAUUAUGAUUUUAAUAUUUAUAAUAUUAUAAUAAUGGUGUGCAUUUUUUCUAUAAAAGGACAUUGUAAUCUAUUAACAUAAAUAUAUUUAUCAUAAGAUCAAGAGCGUAAGUUUAUUCAAAUUAUUUUGCUUGCAAUUUAACAUAGAAUAAAUGCUUUUGAUUUGAUAAAGUGUUGAUAGAUUUAUUAUAUAUAGUGCUUAAAUAUUUAUAUUUUAUAAUAGCAUAUUAAUCAUUGAUUUUUAUGUUUAUUAUAUGCACUUAUAUGAUUAACAAUGCGAAAGAUUCAGGAUACCUUCGGGACCCGUCUUGAAACACGGACCAAGGAGUCUAACAUAUUUGCAAGUUAUUGGGAAUAAAAACCUAAUAGCGAAAUUAACAUAACUUAAUAAUGGGAUUAGUUUUUAGCCUAUUUAUAGUCUAUUAAUACAAUCCCGGGGCGUUCUAUCAGUUAUGUAUAAUAAUAUUUAUAUUAUUUAUACCUCUAACUAGAGCGUACCUUGAGCAUAUAUGCUGUGACCCGAAAGAUGGUGAACUAUACUUGAUCAGGUUGAAGUCAGGGGAAACCCUGAUGGAAGACCGAAACAGUUCUGACGUGCAAAUCGAUUGUCAGAAU
RNAcentral lists this ribosomal RNA (966 nucleotides) under Phormia regina (black blowfly). Its description in RNAcentral is "eukaryotic LSU rRNA". It matches the Rfam family "Eukaryotic large subunit ribosomal RNA", at positions 120 to 911 of the family's 3401-position model. Lineage: Eukaryota; Metazoa; Arthropoda; Insecta; Diptera; Calliphoridae. The record is from RNAcentral.